AUUGGACGCUGGCGGCAGGCCUACCACAUGCGAGUCGAGUGGCAGCGGGACAGUAGCUUGCUACUUUUGCUGGCGAGCGGCGGACGGGUGAGUAAUGCCUGGGGAUCUGCCCAGUCGAGGGGGAUAAGUAGUGGAAACGGUAGCUAAUACCGCAUACGCCCUACGGGGGAAAGCAGGGGACCUUCGGGGCUUGCGGCAUUGGAUGAACCCGGGUGGGAUUAGCUAGUUGGUGAGGUAACGGCUCACCAAGGGGACGAUCCCUAGCUGGUCUGAGAGGAUGAUCAGCCACACUGGAACUGAGACACGGUCCGGACUCCUACGGGAGGCAGCAGUGGGGAAUAUUGCACAAUGGGGGAAGCCCUGAGGCAGCCAUGCCGCGUGUGUGAAGAAGGCCUUCGGGUUGUAAAGCACUUUCAGCGAGGAGGAAAGGUCAGUAGCUAAUAUCUGCUGGCUGUGACGUUACUCGCAGAAGAAGCACCGGCUAACUCCGUGCCAGCCGCCGCAGUAA
RNAcentral lists this ribosomal RNA (508 nucleotides) under uncultured bacterium. Its description in RNAcentral is "partial 16S ribosomal RNA". It matches the Rfam family "Bacterial small subunit ribosomal RNA", at positions 28 to 523 of the family's 1533-position model. The record is from RNAcentral.